Molecule: ribosomal RNA, 254 nt
Filed under: uncultured bacterium
Lineage: Bacteria
Description: partial 16S ribosomal RNA
Rfam family: Bacterial small subunit ribosomal RNA
Source: RNAcentral
GAUCAUGGCUCAGGAUGAACGCUGGCGGCGUGCUUAACACAUGCAAGUCGAACGGGAAAUACUUUAUUGAAACUUCGGUCGAUUUAAUCUAUUUCUAGUGGCGGACGGGUGAGUAACGCGUGGGUAACCUGCCUUAUACUGGGGGAUAACAGCCAGAAAUGACUGCUAAUACCGCAUAAGCGCACGGGGCCGCAUGGUCCUGUGUGAAAAACUCCGGUGGUAUAAGAUGGACCCGCGUUGGAUUAGCUAGUUGG